GUUAAGCGACUAAGCGUACACGGUGGAUGCCCUGGCAGUCAGAGGCGAUGAAGGACGUGCUAAUCUGCGAUAAGCGUCGGUAAGGUGAUAUGAACCGUUAUAACCGGCGAUUUCCGAAUGGGGAAACCCAGUGUGAUUCGUCACACUAUCAUUAACUGAAUCCAUAGGUUAAUGAGGCGAACCGGGGGAACUGAAACAUCUAAGUACCCCGAGGAAAAGAAAUCAACCGAGAUUCCCCCAGUAGCGGCGAGCGAACGGGGAGCAGCCCAGAGCCUGAAUCAGUGUGUGUGUUAGUGGAAGCGUCUGGAAAGGCGCGCGAUACAGGGUGACAGCCCCGUACACAAAAAUGCACAUGCUGUGAGCUCGAUGAGUAGGGCGGGACACGUGGUAUCCUGUCUGAAUAUGGGGGGACCAUCCUCCAAGGCUAAAUACUCCUGACUGACCGAUAGUGAACCAGUACCGUGAGGGAAAGGCGAAAAGAACCCCGGCGAGGGGAGUGAAAAAGAACCUGAAACCGUGUACGUACAAGCAGUGGGAGCACGCUUAGGCGUGUGACUGCGUACCUUUUGUAUAAUGGGUCAGCGACUUAUAUUCUGUAGCAAGGUUAACCGAAUAGGGGAGCCGAAGGGAAACCGAGUCUUAACUGGGCGUUAAGUUGCAGGGUAUAGACCCGAAACCCGGUGAUCUAGCCAUGGGCAGGUUGAAGGUUGGGUAACACUAACUGGAGGACCGAACCGACUAAUGUUGAAAAAUUAGCGGAUGACUUGUGGCUGGGGGUGAAAGGCCAAUCAAACCGGGAGAUAGCUGGUUCUCCCCGAAAGCUAUUUAGGUAGCGCCUCGUGAAUUCAUCUCCGGGGGUAGAGCACUGUUUCGGCAAGGGGGUCAUCCCGACUUACCAACCCGAUGCAAACUGCGAAUACCGGAGAAUGUUAUCACGGGAGACACACGGCGGGUGCUAACGUCCGUCGUGAAGAGGGAAACAACCCAGACCGCCAGCUAAGGUCCCAAAGUCAUGGUUAAGUGGGAAACGAUGUGGGAAGGCCCAGACAGCCAGGAUGUUGGCUUAGAAGCAGCCAUCAUUUAAAGAAAGCGUAAUAGCUCACUGGUCGAGUCGGCCUGCGCGGAAGAUGUAACGGGGCUAAACCAUGCACCGAAGCUGCGGCAGCGACGCUUAUGCGUUGUUGGGUAGGGGAGCGUUCUGUAAGCCUGCGAAGGUGUGCUGUGAGGCAUGCUGGAGGUAUCAGAAGUGCGAAUGCUGACAUAAGUAACGAUAAAGCGGGUGAAAAGCCCGCUCGCCGGAAGACCAAGGGUUCCUGUCCAACGUUAAUCGGGGCAGGGUGAGUCGACCCCUAAGGCGAGGCCGAAAGGCGUAGUCGAUGGGAAACAGGUUAAUAUUCCUGUACUUGGUGUUACUGCGAAGGGGGGACGGAGAAGGCUAUGUUGGCCGGGCGACGGUUGUCCCGGUUUAAGCGUGUAGGCUGGUUUUCCAGGCAAAUCCGGAAAAUCAAGGCUGAGGCGUGAUGACGAGGCACUACGGUGCUGAAGCAACAAAUGCCCUGCUUCCAGGAAAAGCCUCUAAGCAUCAGGUAACAUCAAAUCGUACCCCAAACCGACACAGGUGGUCAGGUAGAGAAUACCAAGGCGCUUGAGAGAACUCGGGUGAAGGAACUAGGCAAAAUGGUGCCGUAACUUCGGGAGAAGGCACGCUGAUAUGUAGGUGAAGUCCCUCGCGGAUGGAGCUGAAAUCAGUCGAAGAUACCAGCUGGCUGCAACUGUUUAUUAAAAACACAGCACUGUGCAAACACGAAAGUGGACGUAUACGGUGUGACGCCUGCCCGGUGCCGGAAGGUUAAUUGAUGGGGUUAGCGCAAGCGAAGCUCUUGAACGAAGCCCCGGUAAACGGCGGCCGUAACUAUAACGGUCCUAAGGUAGCGAAAUUCCUUGUCGGGUAAGUUCCGACCUGCACGAAUGGCGUAAUGAUGGCCAGGCUGUCUCCACCCGAGACUCAGUGAAAUUGAACUCGCUGUGAAGAUGCAGUGUACCCGCGGCAAGACGGAAAGACCCCGUGAACCUUUACUAUAGCUUGACACUGAACAUUGAGCCUUGAUGUGUAGGAUAGGUGGGAGGCUUUGAAGUGUGGACGCCAGUCUGCAUGGAGCCGACCUUGAA
This 2169-nucleotide ribosomal RNA is filed under the name Escherichia coli. Its description in RNAcentral is "partial 23S ribosomal RNA". It matches the Rfam family "Bacterial large subunit ribosomal RNA", at positions 1 to 2196 of the family's 2925-position model. Lineage: Bacteria; Pseudomonadati; Pseudomonadota; Gammaproteobacteria; Enterobacterales; Enterobacteriaceae. The record is from RNAcentral.